CUCCGCUCGACUUUCUCUUACUUUUAUUUUACCUCUUUAUCUCUCACUAGCUUAUCAAGCCCAUUUUUUCGGCUCUUCUUUGAAGAUCUUAAUUUCAACACAUGUAAAUUGAUUUUCCAUUUUGAUUUUGGUAUUUCUAUUCUUCUCAAUUGGGUUUUCUCUUCUUUUUUUCCUGGGAUGUUUUUCUAUUCUUCUCAAUCGCCUCUAUUUAACUUAAAAAAAUCUAGGGUUUUAGUAGUGAAGAAGAUAAAGAAUAUGGGUCACGCUAAUGUCCGGAGUUCCCAUCGUUUUUGAUCUUAGAAUCGGCUGUGAAUGAAGCUAAUUAGCCUGGGGUUUUGAGGUGCUAUUAUUCAGGUAGAUAAAAUUGAACUCCAUUCAGGGUUCUGGUGAUAAUGGUGUGAUGGUGGACCUGGUGGUGAGGAAACUGAAGAUUAAAAUCCUGAAAAAAAUAAAGGGGUUUGAGCUGUUUGACUAAGCAUUUUUGUACAUUUUAUUUGAUGUAAAUUGAUAACUGAAUGGGGAACACAACUAUGGUGCCAAAGAUUCAUGUAAUAUAUAACUGGAAAGGAAGUUUAUGGAAAGCAGACGGAAUAUUGUCUUAUAUGUAGCAAAGAUAUCUGGUUGCGUGAAUGACUUGACCAUGAUAUCAUAUUUCAUGGGAUUUCAGAUAGUAUUGCAGGCUCUUCUAGGUUUUCCCCUUCUUGUUUGUAGAAGAUGUCAAUGGAGGAGUAUGAGAAGGUACUUGAAGAGGAGAGAAAAUUUCUGGUUGCAGUGAAGCCUGGCGAGAGGAAGGUUGAGUUAGACAAGAUGGUUGAUUAUGUACGGCUGCUUUUACUAAAGAAAGGGCUUCGGGGAAAAAAAAGAGAAGAUAAUGGUUGAGAGGAGAGAGUCAAAAAGUUUACAUGGCUAGACAGUGUCAAAGUUCUACAGAGACAUUGUUGUUUGGCCGCAGAAAGAGGUCGAGGAACUUUGGUUCAAAGAGCCAACACCAGUUCAAAGGCAGGAUAUUUCAGUCCUCUUAUCCGUAUGCAGCUCAAUAACCCUCCAUGUGUGAGAUUAUAGGGGAUGAGUUGCUGCUAGAGAUAAUUUUUCAUAUGCAGAUGGUUAAUGGUGCUAAUUAGGUGUGUCGUUCUGAAACUGUUGGUUCAGUUUGUCGUCCGUCAGGAUCUUGCAGUUAUUUUUAUGAGAACUAGAACUUAGAUAUGACUUAGAUGAAACCAGGACUUUUAUUAUUUAUUUAUUUUUGUAAUUUUGAACUAG
Molecule: long non-coding RNA, 1260 nt
Organism: Papaver somniferum (opium poppy)
Lineage: Eukaryota; Viridiplantae; Streptophyta; Magnoliopsida; Ranunculales; Papaveraceae
Exons: 9
Source: RefSeq, a predicted model, not a curated record